Molecule: long non-coding RNA, 1593 nt
Filed under: Sus scrofa (pig)
Lineage: Eukaryota; Metazoa; Chordata; Mammalia; Artiodactyla; Suidae
Description: lncRNA (ENSSSCG00050024217.1)
Source: RNAcentral
CAUAAUUUUAAGGCAUACUGGGAGUUAUCUGCUUGAAUUUAUUUUCCUCCCAUUAAAAAAAAUACUCAUAAAUUGCAUCUGAUAAAAGGGGGUGUUUAUAUCUUUUCAAAGAACCUGGGUCUAAGCAACAUUAAAAAAAAAAAGGAUGAAAAAAAGGAUGAAAUGAUUCAAUGGUCACCUGAGUUCUUCCAACAACAAACACGUGGUCAUUUUCUUUCUUGUUCUCUUUGGUCCCACAGUUCAUAAACAGCAGGUGAAGAUAAGGUUUUAUGGCUGGGAGGGACCUUGGACGCAUCGAGGCUCGUGUUCUACCCUCCCAAGGCUGACGUCAUCAUCCUCACUCUCGUUACUCACCACUCUCGUCGUUCAGUGUAACAGGCAGCCCCAAAUAACCUCUGUCUCUGAAGCUGCCAUCAUUUUCUGGCUUUAACGGGGACCUCUGUUUAUUGGCCCUCAAGAAAGGGAAGGGGAGGGUAUGGGGCAGGGAUAAAGAGCAGUUUCAUCUGAAUCUGGGAGGGUCCCAAACCACCAGUGGGGGUGAGGUGAACCCUAAUCCCCUCUGCCUUUCAGGACUGCACACCUAAGUCUUCGAGGCAGACAGCCCAGUGAGGGCGCCAGACAAAGGAGGCUACGGUCUUUUACAUGAUCAGAUGGGCUCCCAUCUCUAAGAAAGGGAGAAGGGGUGGCGGGGGUGGAGUAGGGUGGCAGAGCUAAUUCAAUUUAGAUAUUAUGAUGACCUAGGACAGUUUCUCCAAGUACUUCCAGAGGUAUUUUGUAAUUUUGUAACUGUCCUGCAAUAUUUGUUAUUUUUCCCAAUCCCUAUCUAUUUCUCAAGUUACUCUGCUUAAAAAUUCUUGAGAACAAUCAGGGGCUUGUGUGCUUCUUUUUGCAGCAGGGGGACGGGACUCUGGCUGGUGUGCAUAUUAUUUUGCAACCGGGGCUGAGGGAUGGAGAGAGAAAGCCAGGAGGGAGGGGAGAUGAGGGCAGGCAAGGUGAGCUAGCUGAUCAUGACCUAGGAGGAAGGGAGGAGCCAAGGAGUCCCCAGGAAGAGGAAGUGGGCCCGGGGCCGGGGGAAGAUGGCCGGGCUCAGAUGGCCGGGCUCUUGCCCAACAUGGGCAGCGCAUGGAUUGCAAGAAUGCUGUCUCAAUGUGGAGAGACCCUAAACACCAGCAGGCUCAGGGUUCUGCCUAAAUUGGGGCCAAGAGGCCCUCCUCUGACAGAGUGGCUCUGGAUCCCUCUCAAAAAAAGUCCCAAUUUCUCCCCUGGAGCCUGGUCAGAGGAAAUAAAUCAUCCAAUGAUAUGUUUGCAAUCUCUCACACUCCUGGCCACUAGCCCCCUGCCCUAAUCACCCCAGGGCCAGGUAUCAGACAGCCAGGGACAGCCCCACGCCCCAGAACCUGGAGAAAUUAUUCAAGCUAUAAAUACCAAGCUGGCUUCCUCUGUCUCAGCCAGUCCUUCCAAGGAAACCACCUUAGAGACCCUCAGCUUUGUUUUCCGAUUACUCCUGCCUCCCGACCACCCCCCAUCCGCAGCCUGUAUGGGGACAUGAUGUGUCCCUUUCCUCUGGAUCUGUGAGUAACAAACGAUCUUUUC